UAGUUCCAUUUAUCGCCAUGGGACUUAU
This 28-nucleotide small RNA is filed under the name Bombyx mori (domestic silkworm). RNAcentral's name for it is "ovarian small RNA-23138". Lineage: Eukaryota; Metazoa; Arthropoda; Insecta; Lepidoptera; Bombycidae. The record is from RNAcentral.